ACCCAGCGGGGCUUGGGAAGUUGGAUUCCCAGCUCACAGCACGGCAAAAGUAGGAGCGAAUGCGGAGUGAUCAGUGUCCCCCUCCCUUUCUCAGCCCUACAGCCAGGAGCAAAAGUUCAGUGCACCAUCCAAAAUACAGGAGAAACAAACCUCCAGCAUUGCCUGCCAGAGGUAGGGGCUGGCCCCCUCGCAGGAGGGCGGUGCAUUAAAAAGCCCUUUCCUCGAGCUGUUUUCCACUCGGGAUAGCAGUGCAGCAAGAAUGGAGACCUGAGGGAGGUGCUGGAAAGACAAGAGAGACUCCAAAACUCCAUGAAGAAACCACCAGAGGCCCAGUGGAAUCAGUGAUGGAUUCUUAGUGUCACAAGAAAUCUUUACCAAGGGACAAUAUGCCCAGUGUGGACCACUGAGCUAUGUGAGCAACAGCAAAUCCAUCUAAGUCCUGCAGAGCAAACUGAUGGAAGUGCAGUUGGAAAGGGAUGCCCUUCUGGAUACCAGGAAUUGCAGAGCCAAGAGAAUGAAAAAUUACAGC
Molecule: long non-coding RNA, 529 nt
Organism: Pipra filicauda (Wire-tailed manakin)
Lineage: Eukaryota; Metazoa; Chordata; Aves; Passeriformes; Pipridae
Exons: 5
Source: RefSeq, a predicted model, not a curated record